This 520-nucleotide unclassified non-coding RNA is filed under the name uncultured Glomus. RNAcentral describes it as "SSU rRNA". It matches the Rfam family "Eukaryotic small subunit ribosomal RNA", at positions 569 to 1092 of the family's 1831-position model. The record is from RNAcentral. Lineage: Eukaryota; Fungi; Glomeromycota; Glomeromycetes; Glomerales; Glomeraceae.
AGCAGCCGCGGUAAUUCCAGCUCCAAUAGCGUAUAUUAAAGUUGUUGCAGUUAAAAAGCUCGUAGUUGAAUUUCGGGAUCAAUAUGUUGGUCGUGCCUCGGUACGUACUAGCAUAUUGGUUUCUCCUUUCUGAAGAACCAUGAUGUCAUUUAUUUGGUGUUGUGGGAAAUCAGGACUGUUACUUUGAAAAAAUUAGAGUGUUUAAAGCAGGCUCACGCUUGAAUACAUUAGCAUGGAAUAAUGAAAUAGGACGUUUGAUUCUAUUUUGUUGGUUUCUAGGAUUGACGUAAUGAUUAAUAGGGAUAGUUGGGGGCAUUAGUAUUCAAUUGUCAGAGGUGAAAUUCUUGGAUUUAUUGAAGACUAACUACUGCGAAAGCAUUUGCCAAGGAUGUUUUCAUUAAUCAGGAACGAAAGUUAGGGGAUCGAAGACGAUCAGAUACCGUCGUAGUCUUAACUAUAAACUAUGCCGACUAGGGAUCGGAUGAUGUUAAUUUUUUAAUGACUCAUUCGGCGCCUUACG